This 254-nucleotide ribosomal RNA is filed under the name uncultured bacterium. Its description in RNAcentral is "partial 16S ribosomal RNA". It matches the Rfam family "Bacterial small subunit ribosomal RNA", at positions 526 to 776 of the family's 1533-position model. The record is from RNAcentral.
CGUAGGUGGCGAGCGUUAUCCGGAAUCAUUGGGCGUAAAGGGUGCGUAGGUGGCAUAAUAAGUUAUUAGUGGGAAAUCGAGGCUCAACCUCGUGGAAGCUAGUAAUACUGUUUUGCUUGAGUGCAGAAGAGGUUAACGGAACUCCAUGUGGAGCGGUAAAAUGCGUAGAUAUAUGGAAGAACAUCAAUAACGGCGAAGGCAGUUAACUAUUCUGUUACUGACAUUGAGGCACGAAAGCGUGGGGAGCAAAACGG